UUCUGGAGGGCUGGCGUGAAGUUUGCAGGGGUCGGGGUUGGAUUGGGCCGGUCUCGUACCGCUGUGGCCUGUAGGCUCGGUUCCGUCGCGCUCUGCCUCAGGCAGCCCUACUGGGUAGCAGGCCCGAAACCCCGGUGCUUGUUGGGCUUUCAUCUCCUGACGGGGUCCCAGUUUUGGGCUGUGUCUUUCAUGAUCAGUUUCUACGUGGUUUUCAGAGAAUUUCCCUCCACUCGCACACCCCCACUAGUGUAUUACUUUCUCCACGAACCUUGCUCAGGUCUACAGCUCUAGUAAACCUCUC
This 301-nucleotide long non-coding RNA is filed under the name Homo sapiens (human). RNAcentral describes it as "HSALNT0139733". The record is from RNAcentral. Lineage: Eukaryota; Metazoa; Chordata; Mammalia; Primates; Hominidae.